Molecule: long non-coding RNA, 1652 nt
Organism: Oncorhynchus mykiss (rainbow trout)
Lineage: Eukaryota; Metazoa; Chordata; Actinopteri; Salmoniformes; Salmonidae
Source: RefSeq, a predicted model, not a curated record
GGUUCCAUUUCUCCAGCCCCCACUCAGCUUUUUAACAUUACAAUGGCGAGGAUUACAUGUUUCAACUACCAAUUGACGCUUUAAAUUUGCUUCAAGUUGGGUGAAACUGUUUCACCUCGCCUGGCUGGCAGUGGAGCGCAAAACUUGAAAAGAAAGCAGGUGCUUGUGAUUCAAUUGGCAACUUUGAAAGGUGUUCGCUGUGACCGUGCGUUUAUUUGCGAUCACUCACCUUCUGUUGCCUGCGUGCCAUAUCCGUGGGUUGUUUGGCAUUGAAAGGAAGGACUUUCAGCUUGUGGUUGGUCCGCAGGUGGUCGUUUAUGUUUACCUCCUUGCCCCGAGGAAGUCAAAGGCUUUUUUGGGGAGUCUUUUGGAACUUCAGUGUCCUCGUCAAUUUCUCCUCCCGAGUCUUCGCUGGAGGACGGGUCUAACAUGUUUUACAACAACACAGUUCUAGGCCAAGGUUGCUGGUGCCUGUCAUUGCUGCCUGCCGCUGCUCACCUUCUCCCUCUGCAUUCAAGAUUUGCUGAAUGAUCGCCUCAACGAUGGGCAUCACCAUGGCAACGGCGGAUGUGUUUUGGACCCACAUGGAUAGGAAGGCACAGCUGUUCAUGAAGCCCAACAUCAGCCUGCAAAGAGACAUCCACAGGGGCGCUAACCAAUGAAAAUGGGUGGUUCGCCAAAUUACCCUUAGGCUGCAUUUACACAGGCCGCCCAAUUCUGAUUUUUUUUCUUCUCCUAAUUGGUGAUUCAGAGCAUUCUAUUAGACCUUGAGAUAUAGCUCUUCUGCUGUGUUAGUAUUAAUACCUUUUAAAACACAUGGUCCUCCAAGAUGGUGACACAUUUGGUAUUUUUGGUAUUUUCUUAGGAUCCCAAUUAGCUGUUGCGAAAGCAGCAGCUACUCUUUCUGGGGUCCAAACACAACGUGAAAUAUGACAUAAUGCAGAACAUUAACAGACAAGAAAAGCUCAACUGCAGAACUAUGUAAAUUUAAAAUGUCACACAUAGCCUACAUUCACACAAAAUAUCUAGAUCAAAUCGGGGCGUUGUGCCGUGAGGUGUUGCUUUAUCUGUUUUUUUUUAAACCAGGUUGGCUGUUGAGCAAUCUGAGAUGGAAGACUUUCAUACAAUCAUGGCUCUAUAAAAUACUGUAUCUUUCUUUGAAUAUGUUCUGUAUUUGGGGACUGUGAAAAUACCCUUGGUGGCAUGUCUGGUGGGUAAAAUAUGUGUAAGAGCUGUGUGUAAGCCGACUAUGCAAACAAUUUGCAAUUUUCUUAUAAAUGAACAAGUGAUGCAGUCAGUCUUUAUUCUACAUUUAGCCAAGAGAGUCUGGCCUGCAUAGUAUUGAUAUUAGCCCUCUGAUUACAGUGAAGAGCAAGAUGGGAUUCUCUGUUCUGGGCCAGCUGCAGUUUUUCUAGGUCCUUUGCAGCACCUGACCAUAUGACUGGGCGAUACUUAAGAUAAGAUAAAGAUAAGAUAACUAGAGCCUUCAGUAAUUGCUUUGUAGAGUGUGGUUUAAAUGCAAAGGAUCUCUUUAUCACAGACGGACCUCCCCGCAUCUUUACAACCAUUGAAUCAAUAUGUUUUGACUGACAGUUUAGACAUUAUCAAAUUCAAAUAAAAUUGUAUUGGUCACGUACACAUUUUACAGAUGC